Molecule: ribosomal RNA, 119 nt
Filed under: Aegilops tauschii subsp. strangulata
Lineage: Eukaryota; Viridiplantae; Streptophyta; Magnoliopsida; Poales; Poaceae
Source: RNAcentral
GGAUGCGAUCAUACCAGCACUAAAGCACCGGAUUCCAUCAGAACUCCGAAGUUAAGCUUGCUUGGGCGAGAGUAGUACUAGGAUGGGUGACCUCCUGGGAAGUCCUCGUGUUGCAUUCC